Non-coding RNA from Potamilus streckersoni, 68 nucleotides. Lineage: Eukaryota; Metazoa; Mollusca; Bivalvia; Unionida; Unionidae. The record is from the annotation of a GenBank genome assembly.
GGUGGCCUAGUGGUUAGAGCGUCCGCCUCGGAUGCGGGAGGUCGUGGGUUCGAUCCCCAGUAGAGUCA